This 392-nucleotide ribosomal RNA is filed under the name uncultured bacterium. RNAcentral describes it as "partial 16S ribosomal RNA". It matches the Rfam family "Bacterial small subunit ribosomal RNA", at positions 523 to 918 of the family's 1533-position model. The record is from RNAcentral.
AUACGGAGGAUCCGAGCGUUAUCCGGAUUUAUUGGGUUUAAAGGGUGCGCAGGCGGCCAUUUAAGUCAGCGGUUAAAUCGUGGGGCUCAACCCCAUUCUGCCGUUGAUACUGGGUGGCUUGAUUGCGGUCGAGGUUGGCGGAAUUCGUUGUGUAGCGGUGAAAUGCAUAGAUAUGACGAAGAACACCGAUUGCGUAGGCAGCUGACCAGACCGCAAAUGACGCUCAUACACGAAAGUGCGGGGAUCGAACAGGAUUAGAUACCCUGGUAGUCCGCACAGUAAACGAUGAAUACUUGUUUUCGGCGAUAUAAUGUCGGAGGCAAAGCGAAAGCGAUAAGUAUUCCACCUGGGGAGUACGCCGGCAACGGUGAAACUCAAAGGAAUUGACGGGG